Long non-coding RNA from Saccostrea cuccullata (small rock oyster), 1026 nucleotides. RefSeq lists it as uncharacterized. The transcript is spliced from 2 exons. Lineage: Eukaryota; Metazoa; Mollusca; Bivalvia; Ostreida; Ostreidae. The record is from RefSeq and is a predicted model, not a curated record.
AAAAUCAUAUUGACGCAUGAGUAAAUCGGACUGAAAUGGGAUGAAUGGAUGAGUAAGAAUGGAAAUAAACACUUACAGUGACGUUUUCCCUGUCAUCUAGGUUAAUUAUUUCUUCCGUUAAGUUCAUAGGAAUACCGAAGGAUGACAAAUGACCGUUAGAAUUUUCAGGAUUGUCAAAAUAACACUUACCACGAGUACAUAUACAUGUAUAAAUUGCUGGAAUCUUGCACAUUUUGUCAAACUGAGAUUGAAACUUAACAUAGUAAACAUGAAGAUUUUGACUUUAGUUUUGGGUUUUAUCAUGACUUUAUGUUUCUGUGAGGGACAAAUCGGACAAGUUCAAGAUCUCGGACAAAUGCGAGAUUUUAGACAAAAUCUUGGACAUAUGCAAGAUGUCGAUGUUGAUCAACUAAACUUGAGAAAUAUGAUUUUGCCCAGUGAUAUACGUGAACAGAUCGCAGUUGAUAAACCUCUAAACUUAAAAGAUGAUAGCAGAUCAAGUAGAACAGGUGGGCUAUAUUCCGCUGGCGGUGCAGUUCGACGGAGGUGGUGGCUGUGCAGAAUACGACCUUUAUUAUGUUAAUGAAGAUCAAUAGCCUGCUGUUGUGUGAAACCUAGACAGAAAUCCAGCUUCCUGUGAAUGACAUCAUAUAGAUUUCGUGUUGUGACAAUCAUGUUUAAUAAAAUUCGAUGGUUUAAUUUUGCAUAACUUGGUUGCAGACAAUGGACAUUAUGAAUGAAUAUUUAUUUUCACGGGGUUUUUUUCUUGGGGCAUUUGGAAAUUAUGGUUUAAGGCAAAUCACACAUGGGAAAAACUUAGUGAAUACCAGUAUGUUUAAUAAUACAUGUAUGUAACAAGAACGCAUCGGUCAUUUAUAUAUAUGUGCAUUUGUUUAUUAGAGUCUACCUUUAAUUUACCAUAAUUAUUCCUAUUUGUUGUUAUUUUUGUUGUUAAAACUUAUUUGUUCAUAUUUACUUUGCCAAACACAUGUUUCUUUGAACUAAAAGUAAAAAUUAUAACAUCGA